RNAcentral lists this ribosomal RNA (388 nucleotides) under Chelonibia caretta. RNAcentral's name for it is "partial 16S ribosomal RNA". It matches the Rfam family "Archaeal large subunit ribosomal RNA", at positions 2032 to 2625 of the family's 2987-position model. The record is from RNAcentral. Lineage: Eukaryota; Metazoa; Arthropoda; Thecostraca; Balanomorpha; Chelonibiidae.
GGUAGCAUAAUCAUUAGUCUUUUAAUUGGAGACUGGUAUGAAUGGCUAAACGAGAGAUCAACUUUUUUUACCGUAAAGAUUGAAUUUAACUUUUUAGUGAAAAGGCUAAAAUUUUUCAGAAAGACGAGAAGACCCUAUAGAGUUUUAUAAAGGACUAAUACUUUUUAUUUGGAUUUUUAUAAAAAAUAUUAAUAAAUUUAUUUUGUUGGGGCGACAUUUAGAUAAAAAAAACUCUUUAUAAGAAAAAUUUUUAUGAAAAUAUGGAUUGAUCCUUUAAAAAAGAUCAUAAGAAAAAAUUACCUUAGGGAUAACAGCGUAAUCUUUUUUGAGAGUUCUAAUCGACAAGAAGGUUUGCGACCUCGAUGUUGGACUAAAAUUAGGGCAGGGU